RNAcentral lists this ribosomal RNA (253 nucleotides) under uncultured bacterium. RNAcentral describes it as "partial 16S ribosomal RNA". It matches the Rfam family "Bacterial small subunit ribosomal RNA", at positions 524 to 776 of the family's 1533-position model. The record is from RNAcentral.
UACGGAGGGUGCAAGCGUUACCCGGAAUCACUGGGCGUAAAGGGCGUGUAGGCGGACACUUAAGUCUGGUUUUAAAGACUGCGGCUCAACCGCAGGGAUGGACUGGAUACUGGGUGUCUUGACCUCUGGAGAGAGAACUGGAAUUCCUGGUGUAGCGGUGGAAUGCGUAGAUAUCGUAAGGAAGACCAGUGGCGAAGGCGAGUCUCUGGACAGCAACUGACGCUGAGGCACGAAGGCCAGGGGAGCAAACGGG